RNAcentral lists this ribosomal RNA (253 nucleotides) under uncultured bacterium. RNAcentral describes it as "partial 16S ribosomal RNA". It matches the Rfam family "Bacterial small subunit ribosomal RNA", at positions 524 to 776 of the family's 1533-position model. The record is from RNAcentral.
UACGUAGGGUGCGAGCGUUGUCCGGAAUUAUUGGGCGUAAAGAGCUUGUAGGCGGUUUGUCGCGUCUGCCGUGAAAAUCCGGGGCUCAACCCCGGACCUGCAUCCGAUACUGCGUGACUAGAGGUAGGUAGGGGAGAUCGGAAUUCCUGGUGUAGCGGUGAAAUGCGCAGAUAUCAGGAGGAACACCGGUGGCGAAGGCGGAUCUCUGGGCCUUACCUGACGCUGAGGCGCGAAAGCGUGGGGAGCGAACAGG